GAUGAACGCUGGCGGCGUGCUUAACACAUGCAAGUCGAACGGAAAGGCCCAAGCUUGCUUGGGUCCUCGAGUGGCGAACGGGUGAGUAACACGUGGGUGAUCUGCCCUGCACUUCGGGAUAAGCCUGGGAAACUGGGUCUAAUACCGGAUAGGACGAUGGUUUGGAUGCCAUUGUGGAAAGUUUUUUCGGUGUGGGAUGAGCUCGGGGCCUAUCAGCUUGUUGGUGGGGUAAUGGCCUACCAAGGCGUCGACGGGUAGCCGGCCUGAGAGGGUGUACGGCCACAUGGGGACUGGGAAACGGCACAGACUCCUACGGGAGGCAGCAGUGGGGAGUAUGGCACAAUGCGCGAAAGCCUGAUGCAGCAACGCCGCGUGGGGGAUGACGGCCUUCGGGUUGUAAACUCCUUUCGCUAGGGACGAAGCGUUUUUGUGACGGUACCUGGAGAAGAAGCACCGGCUAACUACGUG
This 468-nucleotide ribosomal RNA is filed under the name uncultured bacterium. Its description in RNAcentral is "partial 16S ribosomal RNA". It matches the Rfam family "Bacterial small subunit ribosomal RNA", at positions 28 to 507 of the family's 1533-position model. The record is from RNAcentral.